UGCACUUGGGACACCUGGGGACACUAG
Molecule: non-coding RNA, 27 nt
Filed under: Mus musculus (house mouse)
Lineage: Eukaryota; Metazoa; Chordata; Mammalia; Rodentia; Muridae
Source: RNAcentral